RNAcentral lists this transfer RNA (76 nucleotides) under Bifidobacterium moukalabense DSM 27321. RNAcentral's name for it is "tRNA-Arg". It matches the Rfam family "tRNA". Rfam says of the family: Transfer RNA (tRNA) molecules are approximately 80 nucleotides in length. Their secondary structure includes four short double-helical elements and three loops (D, anti-codon, and T loops). Further hydrogen bonds mediate the characteristic L-shaped molecular structure. tRNAs have two regions of fundamental functional importance: the anti-codon, which is responsible for specific mRNA codon recognition, and the 3' end, to which the tRNAs corresponding amino acid is attached (by aminoacyl-tRNA synthetases). tRNAs cope with the degeneracy of the genetic code in two manners: having more than one tRNA (with a specific anti-codon) for a particular amino acid; and 'wobble' base-pairing, i.e. permitting non-standard base-pairing at the 3rd anti-codon position. The record is from RNAcentral. RNAcentral also lists the same sequence under 4 other names. Lineage: Bacteria; Bacillati; Actinomycetota; Actinomycetes; Bifidobacteriales; Bifidobacteriaceae.
GCCUCAGUAGCUCAGUGGAUAGAGCACUUCUCUCCUAAAGAAGGUGUCGUAGGUUCGAUUCCUAUCUGGGGCACCA